This 992-nucleotide ribosomal RNA is filed under the name Enterobacter cloacae. Its description in RNAcentral is "bacterial SSU rRNA". It matches the Rfam family "Bacterial small subunit ribosomal RNA", at positions 30 to 997 of the family's 1533-position model. Lineage: Bacteria; Pseudomonadati; Pseudomonadota; Gammaproteobacteria; Enterobacterales; Enterobacteriaceae. The record is from RNAcentral.
GGGGCGUGGGGGCGGCUAUAAUGCAGUCGAGCGAUGGAUUAAGAGCUUGCUCUUAUGAAGUUAGCGGCGGACGGGUGAGUAACACGUGGGUAACCGGCCCAUAAGACUGGGAUAACUCCGGGAAACCGGGGCUAAUACCGGAUAACAUUUUGAACCGCAUGGUUCGAAAUUGAAAGGCGGCUUCGGCUGUCACUUAUGGAUGGACCCGCGUCGCAUUAGCUAGUUGGUGAGGUAACGGCUCACCAAGGCAACGAUGCGUAGCCGACCUGAGAGGGUGAUCGGCCACACUGGGACUGAGACACGGCCCAGACUCCUACGGGAGGCAGCAGUAGGGAAUCUUCCGCAAUGGACGAAAGUCUGACGGAGCAACGCCGCGUGAGUGAUGAAGGCUUUCGGGUCGUAAAACUCUGUUGUUAGGGAAGAACAAGUGCUAGUUGAAUAAGCUGGCACCUUGACGGUACCUAACCAGAAAGCCACGGCUAACUACGUGCCAGCAGCCGCGGUAAUACGUAGGUGGCAAGCGUUAUCCGGAAUUAUUGGGCGUAAAGCGCGCGCAGGUGGUUUCUUAAGUCUGAUGUGAAAGCCCACGGCUCAACCGUGGAGGGUCAUUGGAAACUGGGAGACUUGAGUGCAAAAGAGGAAAGUGGAAUUCCAUGUGUAGCGGUGAAAUGCGUAGAGAUAUGGAGGAACACCAGUGGCGAAGGCGACUUUCUGGUCUGAACUGACACUGAGGCGCGAAAGCGUGGGAGCCAACAGAGGGGAGCAAACAGGAUUAGAUACCCUGGUAGUCCACGCCGUAAACGAUGACUGCUUAGUGGUUGAGGUUUCCGCCCUUUAUUGCUGAGCUUAACCCUUUAAUCACUCCCCCGGGGAAGUACGGCCCCAAGGCUGAAACUCAAAGGAAUUGACGGGGGCCCCCACAACCGGGGAACCAGGUGGUUAAAUUCAAACCACCCCGAAAAACCUUACCGGGCCUGAACUUCCCCUAAAAU